This 965-nucleotide ribosomal RNA is filed under the name uncultured archaeon. RNAcentral's name for it is "bacterial SSU rRNA". It matches the Rfam family "Archaeal small subunit ribosomal RNA", at positions 343 to 1323 of the family's 1478-position model. The record is from RNAcentral.
GAAACACCCAGCGCACGGCGACAGGGAACUUAAGUGCAGGAUACAAUCCUGGCUGUCGUAUUGCCUAAAAAGCAUUGCAUAGCAAGGGCCGGGCAAGACCGGUGCCAGCCGCCGCGGUAACACCGGCGGCUCGAGUGGUAACCGUUAUUAUUGGGUCUAAAGGGUCUGUAGCCGGCUGGAUAAGUCUCUUGGGAAAUCCGGCAGCUCAACUGUCGGGCUUUCAGGAGAUACUGUCCGGCUCGAGACCGGGAGAGGUGAGAGGUACUUCAGGGGUAGGGGUGAAAUCUUGUAAUCCUUGAAGGACCACCAGUGGCGAAGGCGUCUCACCAGAACGGAUCUGACGGCAAGGGACGAAAGCUAGGGGCACGAACCGGAUUAGAUACCCGGGUAGUCCUAGCCGUAAACGAUACUCGCUAGGUGUCGGCCACGGUGCGACCGUGGUCGGUGCCGUAGGGAAGCCGUGAAGCGAGCCACCUGGGAAGUACGACCGCAAGGCUGAAACUUAAAGGAAUUGGCGGGGGAGCACUACAACGGGUGGAGCUUGCGGUUUAAUUGGAUUCAACGCCGGAAAUCUCACCGGGACCGACAGCGAUAUGAAGGCCAGGCUGAAGACCUUGCCGGAUUAGCUGAGAGGUGGUGCAUGGCCGUCGUCAGUUCGUACUGUGAAGCAUCCUGUUAAGUCAGGCAACGAGCGAGACCCACGCCCACAGUUGCCAGCGUACUCUUCGGAGUGACGGGUACACUGUGGGGACCGCCGCUGCUAAAGCGGAGGAAGGAAUGGGCAACGGUAGGUCAGUAUGCCCCGAAUAUCCCGGGCUACACGCGAGCUUACAAUGGUUGGUACAAUGGGUAUCUACCCCGAAAGGGGACGGAAAUCUCCUAACGCCAAUCUUAGUUCGGAUUGAGGGCUAAACUCGCCGUCAUGAAGCUGAAUCCGUAUAAUCGCACACACAGUGUCCGUGAUU